GACGAACGCUGGCGGCGUGCUUAACACAUGCAAGUCGUACGGUAAGGCCCUUUCGGGGGUACACGAGUGGCGCACGGGUGAGUAACACGUGAGUAACCUGCCCACAACUUUGGGAUAACGCUAGGAAACUGGUGCUAAUACUGGAUAUGUGCCCCUGCUGCAUGGUGGGGGUUGGAAAGCUCCGGCGGUUGUGGAUGGACUCGCGGCCUAUCAGCUUGUUGGUGGGGUAGUGGCCUACCAAGGCGGCGGCGGGUAGCCGGCCUGAGGGGGUGACCGGCCACAGUGGGACUGAGAUACGGCCCAGACUCCUACGGGAGGCAGCAGGGGGGAAUAUUGCACAAUGGGCGCAAGCCUGAUGCAGCAACGCCGCGUGCGGGAUGACGGCCUUCGGGUUGUAAACCGCGUUCAGCAGGGACGAAGCUUUUUGUGACGGUACCUGCAGAAGAAGCACCGGCUAACUACGUG
RNAcentral lists this ribosomal RNA (465 nucleotides) under uncultured bacterium. RNAcentral describes it as "partial 16S ribosomal RNA". It matches the Rfam family "Bacterial small subunit ribosomal RNA", at positions 28 to 507 of the family's 1533-position model. The record is from RNAcentral.